Molecule: long non-coding RNA, 3649 nt
Filed under: Heterocephalus glaber (naked mole-rat)
Lineage: Eukaryota; Metazoa; Chordata; Mammalia; Rodentia; Bathyergidae
Description: lncRNA (ENSHGLG00000048532.1)
Source: RNAcentral
GGCACCCUGGAGUGUGGAGUGAGGCAGAAGGUAGAAAACAAGAAGCUGAAGCCCAAGUCCACCUACUGAAGCCUCUUUUUCCUGUUAAUGGACCUGAUUUGGAAUGAUCCUUCCCAGCUCUUGAUGAAUCUCUGCCAGAAGGAUUAUAGAAAUUGGUAUGACUCUUGGAGAAGGAGAUGUAGAAAAUCUGACUCUCCAGUCCAGUGGCCUGUGAAAAGCUCACUCAAUUAAAGUGGAAAGAUAAGAGGCUCCUGUCACCUACAAGAGCACAGGAACAGACUUGACUAUUGCUGACAGUGACUCAUUUUGGGAUACAGAACAUAGUGGAGUAAAUAAGCUUACUGGAGUGAGACUACUGCAGGGAGGGUUGAGCUGUGACACUAUCGUCUUGUCUGCUUCUUAGGUGAGGAUAUGAGACCUAGGAAUUGCUGGAGCUUGUGUAUGAAGCAACCCUGUGGAAAGCAGAAGAAAAAAGAAAUGGAAUUCUUAGCUGCUGGAUCAGGCUUCAUCUAAAGUUGUGGAUCCCUCAGCUGCAGAGAGGAAGGAGAGGCCAGGAGUCCAGCAUCACACAAAGCUUGGCAUUUGUGGGCCAGCCAGUAUCUAGCAAGAGUGUGUCAUAAAUGUAUAUUGAAGAAUUAAAUGACUUUCAGGGGGACAUUUCCUGUUUUCAACGUUUAACCUUUUGCAGAAGAGAUGCCGAGUAGAUCAACUGAGCACACAGAAGGUAUUUACAAGGCUUCCCACAUGUAACACAUCUUCAAUGAAUGGGAAGAGGGAAGAUGGUAGAAAUAUCUAAUCAUUUAAGAUGCUUUCUAGCCUUAUAAAAUAACAUGAGCAAAUUUGUCAUUUUGAUAACAUUUGGAUUCUGCCAAAUGAGGAACAAUUUCUCUGGAUUUGUGGGUUUUAAAAUGUGAGGCAAAGGAAGCAUGCUGUGGUCUACACAGUCUCCAGUAGGUGAUUGGAUCCAGGACCCCCACAAAUGCCCAAAUCCUCAGAUGCUUGAGGUCCUUAGAUAGAAAUGACAUAAUGUUUGUGUGUAACGUACACAUAUCCUCCCAUAUACUUUAGGUCAUCUCUAGAUUAUUUAUAAUACCUAAUAUAGUGCGAAAGCUAUGUAAAUAGUUGCUAUACUAUAUUAUUUAAGGAAUCAUGACAAGGGAAAGAGUCUGUAUAUGUUCAGUACUGAUGAUGAUUUUUGUUUCUAAAUAUUUUUCAGUCAGUGAUUGGUUGAAUAUGUGGAUUUGGAUACAGAGGGUCAACUGUACUCUUGUCACUGAGAGGGGAAUUUAUCAGACAAUAUGGUUGCAAUGGUCUGGUCCCAGUGUAAUGAUUAUACUUCUGAUCCUAAUUUCAAUUCCACAGGGCAUAAAAUCACCAAUAGUAAAGUAUACUGCUUCCCAUCAGGGAUGUGGUAACAAUGUAGGUUCCUGUAUGCACAGUUAGUGUCACAUAGCUCUCACACUGGUGGAAAGGGCUUUUACCAUUGGAAGAGGAAAAUCCAAACAAGAUGGAAUAACCCUUUGAAGUUCACUUUAAUCGAAGGAUAUUUACAUAAUUCACUUUGGAUUGUACCUCUUUAAAUGGUUGUACUUCCUGUCUAUAUCCACACCUAAAAAGUGUCAGUCAUUUAUAGUCCUUUCUCAUGUUUUUAUUGGCAUUUUUAUUAUAAAACCAAAUAUAGUAAAAAUUUCUAAUCAAAAAAGAAAUGAAAAGUUACUGCAUCACUUUGGAUUUUAUCAGUACUGUCCACUACAGAGGAGUAGAUAAAUAGAUGGUAAACUUUUGAGGCUCUCAUUGAAUAUGUAAAUAUGAGAAUCUGCCACAGAAAAAAGUUCAAGUAUUACAGGGAAAGAAUGUCUAACUUAUAACGUUUAAUUUAUUAUAGCCAAAGUUUGUCCUGUUUUUUGUUUUGUUGUUGUCCACAUUAAAACUAUCAUAUUUAUAAACAUUUUAUUUCUUACACAGCAAAUCUUUCAAGAGAUAUGAAUAUAGUACUGCCACCUCCUGGAAAUAUAAAUAUUCAAUGAUAUAAUUUGCAAAAUUAUAUGAACAUAAUACAUGCAUGUUUGGCCAGUAUUUUUUUUCAGUACCUGGAAUCAAACUCAGGGCCUUGCACUUGCCAGGCAGGUGCAGCACCACUGAGCUACAUCCUCAGCCCCCCUGGCCAGUAUUUUUUAAUGAAAGAGCUUAAAGCUUUAAUUUUUGGGCUGGAUAAAGAUAAAAAGGUAUGAUGAUGAAAUCUUACUGUUUUCCAAAACUCAGGAGGCUAAAUGAUGUUUUAAAGACAUAGUCAAAGCUAAAAAACUAUUAAAAUCUUUAUAGCUAAGUGGUUAAAACCAUACAUUACAUUUCCCCUAAAAGCAUAUACAUUUAUCCAAGUGUUAACAAUAUUUUCAUAAAGAUCAAGAAUAUUAAAAAAAAAUUAACUAUUUAGUCAGAUCUCCAGUGUGUGGCUUCUGUCGCCAGUGACUCUGGCAUGUGCUGUGCCAUCUCAUCAGUAGGCCACUGGGAGAAAAGUGUUCUCGCCAACACUUCAGGAUACCUGUGUUAGUUUACCUCUCAGUUGAUGAAAGAAGAGAUUAAUUCUGAACGUGAUUACUUUAGUGCAGCCUGGCUUUCCCUGAAGCAUUAACAGGUCAUGGUGACAUGUCCUUUCAAUGUCACAUGGGACAAAACCCCCAGAGGAUUAGCUGGAGAAAUGAAAUUUGAUUCAGUAUUUAUUAAAGGUCCCAGACUUAGUGAAGUUACAUGUUAGUUUGGAGAUUUUGCCUGAUAAAGGAACAAUUUCUCUUCUGUGGAAAUGAUCCACAGAAGGUUUAUGUCCCCUUGGACAUUAGCCAGGUUUGUGUAUGACCUGGCAAUUGUGUCUUCACAUUGUCAAAAAUUCCCCAACUUUCCAGAUGUUCUUGGAGCCAGUUUUCAUCUCUUACUGUUAUUCUCAUUAAUGAACAUACUGAGUAAAAUCUUAUCAUGUAUUUAUUUGUACAAGAAUGCCAUGUCUUGUAACCUUUUGAAAAUUAAAUUGAUCAGUUCCAAAGGUCAUGCAUUGAAAUGUUUGAGGGGAUAACCCCCAUUUGCCUGCAAAUCUUUCCUUGACCUCUAGUUUGCACACGUUGAAUAAAUUAUUCUCUAUUAGUGGCAGCAGUGUCUGGGGAUUUGCUUUUAUGAUCUGACUAUUCAGUGAUCUCUAUUGGAUGAAUAGUGGGAGACUUGUUCUCUGUUGAGUGAGAAAUGACAGAGAAUCCUGUGUGGUUUUUAAUAGAGUUUGCUUUGUUUGGCUCAUUUGUUUAUACACAAUCUCAAAUCAAUUAAGAACUUAUAUAUUCAGUGGACAGGAACAUAACUCUGAAUUUUUUGACCUGCGGCUAAAUUUGUAGAUCUGAAGCUACAAGCUCACUAGGUGUCUUAUAUCUGUAAUUAAGAAAGGUCUUUAGCCCUCUGUAUAAGUAUGAAAUAUUUCCUAUCUCUAGAAGGUAUUAAUGAAUUAGAUUAUAAUAUUGUUUACGUUGAAAGAGCAUUGGUAUGGUUAGCUUAUAGAGAUGAUCAUUCAAAUGAUUAAUAAAUAAAUGUUUUCCAAAUUUAAACCAUACAGAAUGAACCUCUUGUAAUUCAAAUUGUGCUAGUCUUUUAAGAAAGAUGGUUGUUUUUC